Chroicocephalus ridibundus (black-headed gull) is the source of this 1279-nucleotide long non-coding RNA. RefSeq lists it as uncharacterized. NCBI's taxonomy places the organism in Eukaryota, Metazoa, Chordata, Aves, Charadriiformes, Laridae. The record is from RefSeq and is a predicted model, not a curated record. The transcript is spliced from 4 exons.
GCUGCCGCUCUUUGUGCGGCCGGAGAGGAGGCGGCAGCGGCGGCGGGGGGAGGACUAAGACGAAGAAGCAGCACAGCCCGGCUGGCAGAGGAGCCGCAGCCCCCUUGUCCUCACACCCCGCGGGUCAGGGUGGCGGCCUGGACACGGGCUCCUCCAUGUUGCUCUCCUAACGCAUUACAAGCUCAGCACACAGAAGUUGUUUCUCUGUCAGCAGCCGUGGCGCCUUUGAUUGAUGGUUUUGACAGUAGAGAUGAAUUGAGGACACGGCACCCACAGUCCUGACCUGGAGUUUGAACUAGUUUUCCUCUCUCCUCUAGGAGGGAGAGGGGGUGGAAGAUCUCAGGAUCUUCUGAUUGCCAUUGAUCCGAGCUGAUUUGCUGAGCAUUGGGUUCAUAUCACGUCUGCGUGCUCCUUGAUAGAUGAUUUCAAUCUGGAAAAAAAUCCGCUUUUUUGCCAUCUGCGUGCAAAAUCUCCAGCAGAAGUUCCAUGAUCCGGAGCGAUUUGGUCUGAUGCCACGAGAAUGGUCUGCUCUGCACACCUUAGGAAGUGCAAAAAGGAAAAAGAAAAGAAGGUAGAGCCUGCCGUGCUGCGGCCUCUGGCUGCUGCCCGAUCACUCAGUCACAUUAAAGCCGGCUCCCUCCUGUGCUGACACGAGGACAUGACAGAUGUCCUUAACCUUUACAGAAUUCCCAGUGAAGUGGCUGGUAAAAUGGGACCAGCCAGUUCAGCCCCACUUGUGAUGGUUACUAGGUUUAACGCACUGAAACUACUUCCACUGGCAUGUGGCGCUGGUCAUAUGCUUAAACAUAUGCAUUUACUUAACAUCUACAGACUUAGGGCCUUAUGUGUUAAACAAUCUCCUAGUCUGAAAUGCAAUUGCGGUGGGGUUUUUGAUAUGAAAACUUGAACUUUGGUGUGAUAAUUUAAUUUCUCGUGUUGUAAAACAAUCUCAGAGCAUAGCUUUUCCCCCGCCUCUCUGUUUUGACAAAGCAAAGUAAGUUUGUGCUAUCAUUAGCUUUCCUUGCCUCAUUUUUGUCUUCUUCCUGCGUCUCAUUAAUACAUAAGCAGUAUUAAAUAAUAAUGAUGCCAGUAGUGGCCUCUGCUGUGCCUCGGUGUUUGCUCCUUUUUGCUUCGAGGAGCAGAUGUUCCCCGUCUUUGUUUUCUGUUGCCAAAUGGGGACUUUGCCCCUUUAACCUUUGAUAAGGUGCUUUAAUAGUCUCUGACGUGAGAUUUUAUCAAAAGCCAAAUAAAUAGUACCUGCCUAGCAGCUUUUAUUAAA